This 243-nucleotide long non-coding RNA is filed under the name Cyanistes caeruleus (blue tit). RNAcentral describes it as "lncRNA (ENSCCEG00000009239.1)". Lineage: Eukaryota; Metazoa; Chordata; Aves; Passeriformes; Paridae. The record is from RNAcentral.
AGGGAGGGAAGCUGUGGGCUGCCCAGCACAUACAUCCCACUCACUGGGAGCUACAGGCAGCAGUCUAUUGCUCUGCUACAGCACAGUGUGCUGGGACCAAACAACUCUGGAUUUAGCCUUUCAUUUGACAAGGUACAUAGGAGCCAAAGAGUAGGAGGGAAGAGAGAUGAGAACAGUGAACAGAUCAAACAAGCAACCUUCGGAGGAGACAUCAGCCCCACCAUGAUCCUUGGCGUGAUGUGA